UUUGUCUCCUGCCUUGUUCUCAGAUUUCAGUUUCUCUAGUGGUAAGAUGCUACUAGGAAAAGACCCAUUUUGCUGGAUUUACAAGAGCCUGAAUUUGCUGAUGGAACCUGCUUCCAAAGGACCAAGCUCACUAAAAUAACAUUUGAUAGAAGGAGACGGAUAUUCUUCAUUGAAUCCAGCUUUUAACUGGCUCCUGUCAAGAGACAUUUGGAUUGACAGCACAGUGGGAAAUACCUGAAGUGUCAUCUCCCACCUGAAUGCACGUGUUGAUGGAUAAAAUUGCUGUUUGGUUCUUCUUCCCCUGCUCCUCUUCGCCACCUUUCGAAGGGAUGUUCCAAAAGGAGGUAUCUGAUACCCUCAGGAUAUCGCCUGUGCUCUCUAGCGGGGAGCCUGGCGCAGAGAAGCCGUGUAGCUGCCGCUAGGGUCCAAGCAGAAAGGGGGGACAGCUGAACGCAGAGCUGCAUUUUGAGAGCAAACGGUGAGACUGAUUAUGGGCAGCAGUUUGGAAACUGGCUCAACUUAAGGACACGGCGUUCAAAACUAUUCUCGGCUGCUCACAGAGCUCAGUCACUGCAUCUUCAAAGCUUGAAGCCAUGUGAUCAGUUUUUGCCAACUGAGAGUUUUCUGGAAACAAAGAUGCAAAGAGUGAAACAAUUUAGUAACAACUUUAACAAUUUAACAGUUCUAACGAAAGAAACACAUUUACUUAUUCAGGGGACUGGUUUUCUGAGCUUUGGUGGAGGCAGGCUUCGCUGCCUGUCAUAGGGAUGCUGUUUAUCUCCCAAAAGUUUGUGCUGUUUCCCUGCCUCUCCUCUUCUUUCCUUAGGAAAUGAGUAUUUUAGCUGGGGGGAUUCCUACUACCCCCUUACUAACCAGUAGUAAUUAAUGAAGGCACAGAAUCGGACAAGACCUAAUGAGACAAACUGAAUGAGACCGUUCAAAGCGUCAUCAUUACAGAGAUUUCUGGUUUAUUACGACUCCGUACGCCUGAGAGGAGGCUGGGCGGCAGCAGCCGCUGCUGCGGGGGGCACGUGAAACAGAACUGCGCUCCCGGGCAAGUAGGAUA
Dromaius novaehollandiae (emu) is the source of this 1066-nucleotide long non-coding RNA. RefSeq lists it as uncharacterized. The record is from RefSeq and is a predicted model, not a curated record. NCBI's taxonomy places the organism in Eukaryota, Metazoa, Chordata, Aves, Casuariiformes, Dromaiidae. The transcript is spliced from 3 exons.